RNAcentral lists this ribosomal RNA (484 nucleotides) under uncultured bacterium. RNAcentral's name for it is "bacterial SSU rRNA". It matches the Rfam family "Bacterial small subunit ribosomal RNA", at positions 30 to 507 of the family's 1533-position model. The record is from RNAcentral.
UGAACGCUAGCGGCGGGCUUAAUACAUGCAAGUCGUGGGGCAGCGCAGUGUAGCAAUACAUUUGAUGGCGACCGGCAAACGGGUGCGGAACACGUACACAACCUUCCUAUAAGUGGGGAAUAGCCCAGAGAAAUUUGGAUUAAUACCCCGUAACAUAAUGAUGUGGCAUCACAUUAUUAUUAUAGCUACGGCGCUUAUUGAUGGGUGUGCGGCUGAUUAGAUAGUUGGCGGGGUAACGGCCCACCAAGUCUACGAUCAGUAGCUGAUGUGAGAGCAUGAUCAGCCACACGGGCACUGAGACACGGGCCCGACUCCUACGGGAGGCAGCAGUAAGGAAUAUUGGUCAAUGGACGCAAGUCUGAACCAGCCAUGCCGCGUGAAGGAUUAAGGUCCUCUGGAUUGUAAACUUCUUUUAUCUGGGACGAAAAAGGCGAUUCUUCGUCACUUGACGGUACCAGAUGAAUAAGCACCGGCUAACUCCGUG